CGGACAUGUGAUAUGAUGGGAGGCAUGACUGACUAUUGAGCCUAACAAAACUCAGGUGAAUAUUAUAGGUGUCCACCUGUGUACUCUUGCAGACCUUGUUCGGUUAAUCCCGUAAAAGUAAAAAUCCAAAAGCAACCUCCUAGAUAGCAUAAAAACUGAUGUUAUUGAAAUAAGAUAUGAGAUUCUAGUGAAAUAAGCUACCCCAUGCCAACCAAAAUCAUGUUGUGUACUUGCUGACGGGUUGUUUUCACUGGUUUUGAGACUUGAAGGAAAAAUAAAUGAGAUGGUCGAAAAUUGUGCUUAGAUGGUAGUUGAAUGAUGCGGCAUAGACUUCGUGUAAUAGCCUAUCAACCGGUGCUCCGCACGGAUUAAUAAGAAUUUAUAUAAAAUUAAAUUUUAUAUCUUGUUUAUAUCACACCUCUAUGUGUAUUCGAUAUAUAUUUAAUUUAAUUGAACCAUUUAUUUGUGAAUUGAUAUUCUUAUCUCUUCUAUCACACAUGAAUAUAUGAUAACACAUAUCGUGAGUAGUAUUUUAUAAAUACAAUACAUAAAUAAUAUACUAAUAAUGAUAGAAAUAUUAAUUUAAAAUAUAUAUUGGUGUAUUUUAAUACUUUGUUAUAAUUUUAUAAUUUAGAUUUGGAUUUAGGGGUUCCUUUAAAUUUUAAUAUAACAUAAUUGAUAAUUUAUAUGAAAAUUUAGAAGGUUAUUAGCAUUAUUUUUUAUAAUGUCAUAGAUGGGGAAUUUACACAAAAAAUAGAGGGUUACUUUAGAUUUUUAAUAAUGAUAUAGGUGGGUAAUUUAGAUACAUGUUUAGAGGGUUACUUUACUCUAUUUUCAUAAUGACAGAGGUAGACAAUUUAUUAGGAAAGAUAAUAGUUCCAAUGACUAUUAUGAUCAGAGUUGUUGGAUUAAUGGCCAGUUGUUUCUAAUUUCUGUGAGAAUUUCUAAUUUUUUUUAUUUUUUUGAGUGUCCAUCUAGGAUGCUAUGUGACUUCACGAAACCUUCAAAUGAGCCUCCAAUUAAUAAUAGUAAGAUAUAUCAUCCUCAUGCUUUACACAUGGUGCUAAAACCGCACACCAAAAUAAGGGAUUUCUGAUUUCUUCACACUAGAAUGCAUCAAAGAAGGCCAGCUAGCAUUAUGUUUGAGGAAAACCUUCUCGUGGCUCCACUGGUGUCACCACCUGAAAUCACAAAAUUAUUGUGGUUUUAGGAAGACACUACUGUGUUGAAGACACACGGCUCUCAACUUUCACAAGGAAUCAAUCACUUUACACUUACCAUGAGGUUUAUAAGAAGGCAGGCUGAUGUACCUGGGACAAUACUAACCAUGUUCUAUUAUAUCAUACGCGUUGCCAUUUCCUCCAUUUAUGCAGUCAAGAGGCUGAAAGAAAUCAGCGAGUGGAAAAUUAUUGCUACAAAAAUAAACAAACAGCAACAGAGGGGAGGCUCCAAAGGAGCUUCUGAUGGUGCCAACCAGGUCUACCACCAGAUACCUGCCGCCAUCAUCUGCGCCUACGCUAAUCUUGCUUGCCAGCAUAGCCUGAGGCACAAUGCAGAGUCAGCAGAUGCCAUCAUCGUUCUUCAUCAGCUAAAGGUGCCACACAAGUUGUGAACAAAUUUAUUUCCUUAAUCUAAAAAAAAAGAUGUGAACAAAACUCUGCAAAUCAGUCAAAGCAGAGUGCCAUGAGUGUCCAUGAGACCAUGAAGAUGGUAUUGUAUUGUGUUGCUUACUGUGACAUUGUAGCUGGAGUACAGGUGCAUGGUUGUAGAGAAGUAGCCGUAUUCAUCCUGGAUCACAGGGUACGAGCAUGUCCCGUGCUUUUCUGAAAUGAGAAAACAUUGAACUUUUAUUGGUGACAAA
This is a long non-coding RNA of Panicum virgatum (switchgrass), 1861 nucleotides long. RefSeq lists it as uncharacterized. The record is from RefSeq and is a predicted model, not a curated record. Lineage: Eukaryota; Viridiplantae; Streptophyta; Magnoliopsida; Poales; Poaceae. The transcript has 2 exons.